CUYGGCAUUCCCUAGUAGCGGCGAGCGAAGCGGGAAGAGCUCAAAUUUAUAAUCUGGCACCUUCGGUGUCCGAGUUGUAAUCUCUAGAAAUGUUUUCCGCGCUGGACCGCACACAAGUCUGUUGGAAUACAGCGGCAUAGUGGUGAGACCCCCGUAUAUGGUGCGGACGCCCAGCGCUUUGUGAUACAUUUUCGAAGAGUCGAGUUGUUUGGGAAUGCAGCUCAAAUUGGGUGGUAAAUUCCAUCUAAAGCUAAAUAUUGGCGAGAGACCGAUAGCGAACAAGUACCGUGAGGGAAAGAUGAAAAGCACUUUGGAAAGAGAGUUAACAGUACGUGAAAUUGUUGGAAGGGAAACGCUUGAAGUCAGACUUGCUUGCCGAGCAAUCGGUUUGCAGGCCAGCAUCAGUUUUCCGGGAUGGAUAAUGGUAGAGAGAAGGUAGCAGUUUCGGCUGUGUUAUAGCUCUCUGCUGGAUACAUCUUGGGGGACUGAGGAACGCAGUGUGCCUUUGGCGGGGGUUUCGACCUCUUCACACUUAGGAUGCUGGUGGAAUGGCUUUAAACGACCCGUCUUGAAMCACGGACCAAA
RNAcentral lists this ribosomal RNA (585 nucleotides) under Rhodotorula mucilaginosa. RNAcentral's name for it is "partial large subunit ribosomal RNA". It matches the Rfam family "Eukaryotic large subunit ribosomal RNA", at positions 69 to 670 of the family's 3401-position model. The record is from RNAcentral. Lineage: Eukaryota; Fungi; Basidiomycota; Microbotryomycetes; Sporidiobolales; Sporidiobolaceae.